Paramuricea clavata is the source of this 1433-nucleotide non-coding RNA. The record is from the annotation of a GenBank genome assembly. NCBI's taxonomy places the organism in Eukaryota, Metazoa, Cnidaria, Anthozoa, Malacalcyonacea, Plexauridae.
GUUCCGGUUUCAUAUCACGAAAAAAUUAGGGUUGGUAGGUCGGAAAUUUUUUUUUUUUUAAUAUUUUUUUUCAAUAAUUAGUGACAACAGACACCAUUUUGGCAGCAGCCCGCAACCACCCAGAGAAAAUAGGGUCGCACGGUCAAUUACGUUGAAAAAAUAAUAGGGUCGGCAGAAAAAAAUAGGGUCGGUCGGGAACCGGAACCACAGGGUUUUUUUUUAUGCCUUAGUACACAUGGAUGGGGUUUUCAAUUUUCCGCCAAUUGCAAUAUAGCUUCUGGUUAUGUCAAAACGGGGAUGGGUCAAUUUUUAGCAAAAUGUUGUUCAAAGUUAUUUCGCUUCACAUUGCCUUUACAGGAAAAGUGGGAGCCUAAGCAUUUAUUCGCAUUUGAAGUCAUUAUGAGAAAGGUCUAUUGGAAAGAUACUCCAAUUGAUGUUAAUUAACCAAUAAAUAACAAUACACACAGUUUAUAAAUGAUGAAAGGUGUUCUCUGCACCUCAAUUGGUAAUUUAUGGCCUUAGGAGAUUAUAUUCCAACAGGAUGUGAUAAUUCAAGAUUUUUAGUUGUACCUCUCUAGAAUGGUACUCCAACAUUAUAAUUAUUUACCCUGCACUUACGGUAAUAAGCUAGGGCAGACUCAUUUAGUACAUAAAGCACAGUUUUCUAAAAGAUAAUCAUUCAGAUAGCAACUCAAAACUUGGAAUCAAAACAAACCUUAGUCCCACUUUAAACCCAUCAGUCCAAGACAUGUUGGGCAUAGUUAGUAUUGUAGUAUGGGCUUGGAAGAUUUGCUGGUGGUAACAUGGUAACAGCAAAAUGUAAUAUGCAGAAAAUUCAGGGUCGAUCGGCCCCUAUAUUAAGUACAACUACACUCCCUUGACAAAUACAUUUGUCUGGGGUUAGGAAGAUUAAAAUAGUAAAGUCGGGUGCAUUGGAGUGCAAUACAGACUUACAAGUAGCCUGUGUACAGCCGUUACUCUCAACGAAACGCACAAGAGAACGUCUGUGAGUUGGAUGCAUAAUCCUUGUUCAGGUCACAUGGAUAGUUCCCAGAUUUGGGUACCGGCCUCUGAUUGGACAGUGCUUAUUUGAAUAAUUUAUGACAAAUGAAGCUAUUUCAUUGGUUAAUUAAUUGAUAAUUAGCAUGCAUUUAAAAUAACAACACAAAAAUUUUAAAAUUCCAGAUCAAGAAUUCUUUCGGGGCAUACAAAGGUUUGAAAGACUAGAAAUAUAAUCUGUUGAGCUUAAUUUUGUGCUGUAUCAAAGUUUAAAUUUCUCGAUGAAGAGAUUUGUUUUGAGUGCGAACAAUGCUUAAUUAACGAUCAUUAUUCAUUGCCAGCAAGUCCGGUGUAUUUACAAAGACAAAGAUAAAAUUCUAGUGUUUGGACACUCAGCGAAUAAUGCUGACAAAUAUAUAAAAUACAACAAACUA